RNAcentral lists this ribosomal RNA (483 nucleotides) under uncultured bacterium. RNAcentral's name for it is "partial 16S ribosomal RNA". It matches the Rfam family "Bacterial small subunit ribosomal RNA", at positions 30 to 507 of the family's 1533-position model. The record is from RNAcentral.
AUUGAACGCUGGCGGCAGGCCUAGCACAUGCAAGUCGAGCGGAUGAAGGGAGCUUGCUCCUGGAUUCAGCGGCGGACGGGUGAGUAAUGCCUAGGAAUCUGCCUGGUAGUGGGGAUAACGUCCGGAAACGGGCGCUAAUACCGCAUACGUCCUGAGGGAGAAAGUGGGGGAUCUUCGGACCUCACGCUAUCAGAUGAGCCUAGGUCGGAUUAGCUAGUUGGUGGGGUAAAGGCCUACCAAGGCGACGAUCCGUAACUGGUCUGAGAGGAUGAUCAGUCACACUGGAACUGAGACACGGUCCAGACUCCUACGGGAGGCAGCAGUGGGGAAUAUUGGACAAUGGGCGAAAGCCUGAUCCAGCCAUGCCGCGUGUGUGAAGAAGGUCUUCGGAUUGUAAAGCACUUUAAGUUGGGAGGAAGGGCAGUAAGUUAAUACCUUGCUGUUUUGACGUUACCAACAGAAUAAGCACCGGCUAACUUCGUG